This 253-nucleotide ribosomal RNA is filed under the name uncultured bacterium. Its description in RNAcentral is "partial 16S ribosomal RNA". It matches the Rfam family "Bacterial small subunit ribosomal RNA", at positions 524 to 776 of the family's 1533-position model. The record is from RNAcentral.
UACGUAGGGAGCAAGCGUUGUCCGGAAUCAUUGGGCGUAAAGCGCGCGUAGGCGGCUUCGUAAGUCCGUUGUGAAAGUCAAAGGCUCAACCUUUGAAAGCCGAUGGAUACUGUGAAGCUAGAGUACGGAAGAGGCGAGUGGAAUUCCUGGUGUAGCGGUGGAAUGCGCAGAUAUCAGGAGGAACACCAGUGGCGAAGGCAGCUCGCUGGGACGUUACUGACACUGAGGCGCGAAAGCGUGGGGAGCGAACAGG